Molecule: ribosomal RNA, 327 nt
Filed under: uncultured eukaryote
Lineage: Eukaryota
Description: partial 18S ribosomal RNA
Rfam family: Eukaryotic small subunit ribosomal RNA
Source: RNAcentral
CCCUUAGAUGUUCUGGGCCGCACACGCGCUACACUGAAGGAGGCAGCGUGUACUCCUGGAUCGAAAGAUUUGGGUAACCCGCGAAUCUCCUUCGUGCUAGGGAUUGAGGUUUGCAAUUAUCCUUCAUGAACGAGGAAUUCCCAGUAAGUGCAAGUCAUAAGCUUGCGCUGACUACGUCCCUGCCUUUUGUACACACCGCCCGUCGCUACUACCGAUUGAAUGAUUUAGUGAGGACUUCGGACUGGGACCGAUGCGGCUUUCGGGCUGCGUCGGUAUUCUGGAAAGAUGUCCAAACUGUAUCAUUUAGAGGAAGUAAAAGUCGUAACA